AGAGUUUGAUCCUGGCUCAGGACGAACGCUGGCGGUGUGCUUCACACAUGCAAGUCGAACGGAGUAGCAAUACUCAGUGGCGGACGGGUGAGUAACACGUGGGAAUCUACCAUUAGGUGGGGAAUAACAGGCCGAAAGGACUGCUAAUGCCGCAUAUGUAGGCAUCUCGACAGAGAUGUUUAUGAAAGGAGUAAUCCGCCUUUUGAUGAGCCCGCGUCCGAUUAGCUAGUUGGUAGGGUAAAAGCCUACCAAGGCGACGAUCGGUAGGUGGUCUGAGAGGAUGAUCACCCACAAUGGGACUGAGACACGGCCCAUACUCCUACGGGAGGCAGCAGUAGGGAAUCUUGCGCAAUGGGCGAAAGCCUGAUGCAGCGACGCCGCGUGAGGGAUGACGGCCUUCGGGUUGUAAACCUCUUUCAGCACAGACGAAGCGCAAGUGACGGUAUGUGCAGAAGAAGGACCGGCCAACUACGUGCCAGCAGCCGCGGUAAUACGUAGGGUCCGAGCGUUGUCCGGAAUUACUGGGCGUAAAGAGCUCGUAGGUGGUUUGUCGCGUCUGCUGUGAAAUCUGGGGGCUCAACCCCCAGCCUGCAGUGGGUACGGGCAGACUAGAGUGCGGUAGGGGAGAUUGGAAUUCCUGGUGUAGCGGUGGAAUGCGCAGAUAUCAGGAGGAACACCGAUGGCGAAGGCAGAUCUCUGGGCCGUAACUGACGCUGAGGAGCGAAAGGGUGGGGAGCAAACAGGAUUAGAUACCCCGGUAGUCC
Molecule: ribosomal RNA, 764 nt
Filed under: uncultured bacterium
Lineage: Bacteria
Description: bacterial SSU rRNA
Rfam family: Bacterial small subunit ribosomal RNA
Source: RNAcentral